UGGAGGUGUAGCUCAGUUGGUAGAGCAACGGACUUUUAAUCCGUAGGUCGUGGGUUCGAGUCCCACCGCCUUCAU
Molecule: transfer RNA, 75 nt
Filed under: Planctomycetia bacterium
Lineage: Bacteria; Pseudomonadati; Planctomycetota; Planctomycetia
Description: tRNA-Lys
Rfam family: tRNA
About the family: Transfer RNA (tRNA) molecules are approximately 80 nucleotides in length. Their secondary structure includes four short double-helical elements and three loops (D, anti-codon, and T loops).
Source: RNAcentral